This is an RNA transcript of Brassica napus (rape), 1142 nucleotides long. RefSeq lists it as uncharacterized. Lineage: Eukaryota; Viridiplantae; Streptophyta; Magnoliopsida; Brassicales; Brassicaceae. The record is from RefSeq and is a predicted model, not a curated record. The transcript is spliced from 3 exons.
UUAUCCACAAAACCAAACCAAAACUCGUGUCUUUAUCUUUUAAUUACAGCUUUGUUCCCGAAAGUCAGAAACCGUUCGUCUCCCCCCCCUCUCUAUCUCUCUCUAGAUGGCUCGUUCCCUCUCCCUUCCACUUUCUCUCUCUAAAAACCGACUCACAGCAGCUGCAGCCUCCUUCCUCCCUUCAUCGCACCUCUUAUCCAUCCGAUCUCAAUCCUCCGACCGUCGCGGCGAUCUGUACGAAUUCGACAUCGCCGCGUCGCAAUCGCCCUCGGAUCCGUUAAUUCAGAAGCUAGAGGACGCCGUUCACCGGAUAGUCGUCCGAAGAUCGGCACCCGAUUGGCUCCCGUUUGUUCCCGGUGCGUCGUACUGGGUCCCUCCUCCUGGAUCUGGAUCUCAGACUCACGGGAUCGCUCAGCUCGUCGCGAAGCUGGCUAAUCCGUUAACGGACGAAGAAUCUCUCUCCACCAAUUCGUCUCGCGGAUGGCCUUCCUCUGAUUAUUUCCUUAAAGGUAAAAAGGCCUAGCUUUGUGGUGGUGUAACAGGUUCAUACUUUGGGUUUUGAUCGUGUUAGUGCUACAUGUUAAAUGUUAUUAACAUUUAUUGAAAUCUUAUAUUUUAGGUGUGCAGCCUCUAUUGAUGGAGACUAAGACCGAGGCGACUUCAAAUACAGAGUCUCACUCCGAGGAUGAGGAAGGGUAAAGAGAAUGCUACUUUGAAGAAUCAACCGGCGCGUUUGGGUGGGUUGUUACUUAAACUAAAGGUCUGACCUUUUUUAUUGAAUGAUCAUGUAUAAAGAGUCAGACGUCUGAUGACUUUUUGGUUGGGUUUCAUUAGAUAGAAGAAAUAAUGAAGCUAGAUCUAUUGGAUCUGUAGAUUGUUAUGAAUAUGAGCCGGGGUGAUUCUGAUGACGACUGAACCAAGUCAAGUGCAAAGACUCGCCAUAUAGACUGCUUUACUAAUCCUGAAAUGUAAAAAAAAAAGAAUAAUAGUAGUUAGUUGUAGCCAUUUUACCUCUGUUUAGUGUAAUCUUUUCCUUUUUUAAAAAGCUGUUGUAUAUAUUUCUGUUUCAUUGCUCUUUCAGUUAUGUAACCAGUUUAUGAUAAACUCGAAUGAAUAAAAGGGGAAAAAAAAUUGAGCUUUCA